This 62-nucleotide transfer RNA is filed under the name Erpobdella sp. JP-2021. RNAcentral's name for it is "tRNA-Asn". The record is from RNAcentral. Lineage: Eukaryota; Metazoa; Annelida; Clitellata; Hirudinida; Erpobdellidae.
UAAGUGAAAGCAAAUAAAUUGCAUCUAACUGUUAAUUAGAAGAAAGUCUCUGACUCACUUAU